RNAcentral lists this microRNA precursor (203 nucleotides) under Oryza nivara. RNAcentral describes it as "MIR812 microRNA precursor family". It matches the Rfam family "MIR812 microRNA precursor family". Lineage: Eukaryota; Viridiplantae; Streptophyta; Magnoliopsida; Poales; Poaceae. The record is from Rfam by way of RNAcentral.
AAUAGAUGACGCCGUUGACUUUUUCUCACAUGUUUGACCAUUUGUCUUAUUAAAAAAAUUACGUAAUUAUAAUUUAUUUUGUUAUAGGUUGUUUUAUCACUCAUAAUACUUUAAGUGUGAUUUAUAUCUUAUACAUUUGCAUAAAAUUUUUAAAUAAGACGAAUGAUCAAACAUGUGAGAAAAAGUUAACGGCGUCAUCUAUU